AGCAAGUUUUGGUUUAGCUAACUCAGAUUUACCUGGUCCUGGUUCUGAUCUAAGUGGCCUUAUCAAUGCUUUUAACAAUAAAGGUUUCACACCCAAAGAAAUGGUUGCUUUAUCAGGUAACUAUAGUUACUUUUAGUUCCUUUAACAUGUGCAAUAUUACACAUGUCAGAAAAACCCUAAUUUUAUUAUUACUAGCGUUUAGGCACUCUGGUGUCCGUCUAUCCAGUUUUCAUACCAUAUGAUAAACAUGUCUCAUUAUCAAUUGUAUAACUAACUUUAUUGUAUUAUAGGAUCACACACAAUUGGUGAAGCUAGUUGUAGAUUCUUCAGAACAAGGAUUUACAAUGAAAACAACAUAGAUUCAUCUUUUGCAAAUUCAUUGCAAUCAAGUUGUCCCAGAACAGGUGGUGAUUUAAAUUUGUCCCCACUUGACACAACCUCUCCAAAUACAUUUGACAAUGCUUAUUUCAAGAACUUGCAAAACCAAAAAGGUCUCUUUCACUCUGAUCAAGUGCUUUUCGAUGAAGUAACCACAAAAUCACAAGUUAAUUCUUAUGUUAGAAACCCUUUGAGUUUCAAAGUUGAUUUUGCCAAUGCAAUGUUCAAAAUGGCGAACCUUGGCCCACUUACGGGGUCUAGUGGUCAAGUUCGAAAAAAUUGUAGGAGUGUCAACUAAAAUUCUUGGCCUUCUAUUGUAUAAGUGCAAUACAAGGUUAUAAGCUACUCUCUAUAUUGUAAUCAUAAAUCGCAUCAAACUCAAUGUCAUAUCGUCAAUCAGUAUCAAUAAUAAUGUUGGUACCUAUUUAAUUACUUAAUCUUGUUGGUCCAAGUGCUAUGAGGUUUGAAAACCAUAUAUAUAUAUAUAUAUAUAUAUAUAUAUAUAUAUAUAUAUAUAUAUGCAAGUAGUCUUGAGAAGAGUUGAUUUUUUCCUUUAAAUUUGUCUCGCUUAACAACCUUGAGGUUUUUUUUUUGUCUUUUCGUUCAUUUAAUUUGAACUAUCGAACCGAACCGAGUUGUUCAAAUCAAAUGGAUAACUCUUUGUAUCCUAAGUAGAUUUUUGAUUAUCCCUAAUGACUUUUUUGAAUGGAUUAUCUCUAAUGACUUGAUUGCUAAAGUGAUCCCUUCUUCCUUGAUUAAUCAGGAUGAUUUCAAUAUAUCCGAAAUACCUUCUUUUGAAGAUGUCAAGGCCUCUUAAUAGGGAUGAUGUUCACUUGGUUAACCUAAGCUUUUUAAACAUGACAAAUAAGAAAAUAUUAACAUAAUUCUUUAAAAAUAAUUCGAUAUUUAGUUAAGAUCUCAUUUUUAGUUAAUGGCAAGCAUGGUUUAUUUCUUUUCCAAAAGAGGGUGUAAGGCAUGGGAGUUUUUAUUUCUCCUUUUCUUUUAAAUUCUUGCAUCAUUGAUUUGGAAGUGUAAAGGAUUGAAGAGUAAGAGUGUAAUUUGAUUUCGCAUGCAACUCUUGCUAAUUUGGAAGGUGAGGAAUGAUAACCAAAGUUAGCACAAAAAUCCAAAAUUUGGGGAGGUAGUUGACCAAAAUGUCUUGAACAAAAAAUCAGCUUGGCACUAAAAAAAUAAAUGAAAAAAAAAAAUCUUAAAAAAGAAGUGAUGAAAAUGACAAUAUAAUUAAUUAAAAUGAAUUCCGUAGAAAUUAUUAUCUCCAAUAAUUUUGUUCAUGUAUACUGUUUUUUAUUUUUAGGGAUGUGAUGCAUCAGUACUGUUGGACGAUACAUCAAGUUUCAUAGGUGAAAAAACAGCAGGUCCAAAUGCUAAUUCAUUGAGACGCUUUGAUGUAAUUGACAAAAUAAAGUCUGAAAUAGAGAAGUUAUGCCCUAAUACUGUCUCUUGUGCUGAUAUUCUUGUUGUGGCAGCAAGAGAUUCCGUGAUUGCUGUAAGUAUAAAUACUUCAAAUCAAAACUUUUCUUUAAGGGAUACUUCAAGCUAAAAAAUAGAGUUUUUCGUCAUAAUUUUUAAUUCAACGGUUGAUAUAUGAUGAUAAUGGAUCAUGACUCAUAUUGUAUGUGUCUAUAUAUUAUUUGACUAUAAACAUAACUAUUUUUGAAGUCAGACAUGCGAGUGGUUGUGAUAUGUCAGCCGUAUAAAACUUUUUAAGGAUAUAAUUAAAAAUAUAUUUUUGGUAGGAUGGUUAUGGUGUACUCUCUGGUGGUUCGGGAGUUGAGGAGUGCCUGAGUGAUUCGUCUCUGGGGUAGGUAUGGUGUGUCGAUCGCUUUUACUUAGAGAUUGGGAGUCAAUUUCUAGAAAUUUGUUAUGUGGGCUUAUUAUGGUGUCUUCUUCGGCGGAAUGGGGAUCGAUUGGUGGUGCAAUUUGUAUCGGUGCUGGAUUAAGUGUUUAUCAGGUGUUUAUUUGGGCUCGACGUCGGAUAGAGAAGGUGUUUGAUGAGUUUUUGGAGAUUUUCGUGCGAGUAGCAGACGUCAGGUGUUUGGAACGAGUUUAGGUGGACAUUCCAGCGGACCAGUGGCGGAUCUCUAUAGAGACCCACAGGUGCCAUGACACCCCUCAACUUAUCUAUAAAUACUAUAUUACUCAUAACAUAUUAUAAGUAUUUCAUUGUCGCAGCGGAAAGUGAAGGCUUUUUGCAACUAUAGGUCGCGAGUUCAAUUUCUAUUGGCUCCCUUUUAUGUGUAUUUUUAUUUUUAUUAAAACAAAGUGUUUGUCUGGAGCUCGAACCAGUGUCCACAAGGUACUGGGCAUAAACAAAGUGAACCACUACACCAUCUUACAAACAAUGUCAAACAUUUGAAAGAGUGUGUAUAUUUUCUACGACUAUUUGGCACCCCGAACAAAAUCAGUCAAGAUCCGCCACUGCAGUGGAGGUCGGGUGUUUGGAGAGUUUAGGUGGACAUUCGAGUAGGAGCAUGAGGUUUUCCCUCAACUUAGGUUUUUCAGUUGUCUGAGGUUUGGCGUUGAUUUUUAUGUGUUGGUUUUCGUCUUGGUGGUUAGUUUUUAUUGGGUUUGGUGAUAGACGUCAAUUAAAUGAUGUCUUUAUUAUGUAGGAGCUUACUUUUAGCCCUUUACUUAUUUCUGUCUUGCCAAUCUCUAUUCUUCUUGAACAGUGAUCUGGUUUUAAUAAAUUUUGUUGUUUAAUUUUUUUUUAUAUAAGUUGAACAUACAAGUAAUUUUACAUUGCCGGUAUAAAACUUUUUACAACAACAAUGUAUGAAAAUUAAUCACAUAUUAUAAGGAAAAGAAAAUUUUUGUAGUUCUUGACAAAAACAAAAUUGUACUUGAAGUUAUAGUCAACCAAGUAUUUCUCUAUACACUAACAUAUUGAACACAUUUCAGCUUGGUGGUCCUAGUUGGACUGUUCAAUUAGGAAGAAGGGAUUCAACCACAGCAAGUUUUAGUUUAGCUAACUUAGACUUGCCAGGUCCUUCCUCUGAUUUAAUGAAUUGAUUGCUCUUUCAGGUAGCAAGCUAAACUUAUAGAUGCAUAUUUAUCAAAUGUUUUAGAUUAUUAUUUUUAUUAUUACUAGCGCACUCUCGUGUUCGUCUAUCCGGUUUUUAUACCAUUGUUGUGUAACUAACCUUAUUGUAUUAUAGGAUCACACACAAUUGGUGAAGCUAGUUGUAGAUUCUUCAGAACAAGGAUUUACAAUGAGAACAACAUAGAUUCAUCUUACAAUUGGUGAUUUAAAUUUGUCACCGCUUGACACCAUCACUCCAGAGACAUUUGACAUUGCUUAUUUCAAGAACUUGCAAAAUCAAAAGGGUCUCUUUCACUCUGAUCAAGUGCUUUUCGAUGAAGAAACCACAAAAUCACAAGUUAAUUCUUAUGUUAGGAACUCUUUAAGUUUCAGAGCUGAUUUUGCCAAUUCAAUGAUCAAAAUGGGGAACAUUGGCCUACUUAUAUUACUGGGUCUAGAGGUCAAAUUAGGGAAAAUUGUAGGAGUAUUAACUAAAGUUUUUUGCUUCUAUUACAAGUGCAAUACAAGGUUAUGAGCAUUAUAUGGAUUGUAAGCAUAAAUCGCAUCAAACUCGAUGUCAUAUCGUAAAUCAGUAUCAAUAAUAACGUUGGUACCUGUUUAACUAUUAAUUUUUCUAUCGUGUAAUGUUAAAAAUAAAAAAUGGAUUUGUCCAAGUGUGGUGGGGUUUGAUUUCCAACUCAUGUAUACGAAAAAAAAUUAAUUGAAUACUUCGUACCUAUAAAAUAAUUUUAAAAAAAGUGUGUAAUACUAAAAAGGGUGUAAUCAUGCAUGUUCAUAUAUUCAAGCCUACUUGUUAAGGUUUAACAUUUUAAUUUUGUUAUAUGGGCUGAAACAUUUUUAGCAAUGGAAAAAAACUAAACAAAAUUAUCAAUUUGUUUUUCUUUUAACUCUCUUAUUUCGUCUAAAAAUCAAGUGAAACAUGCAUGACUAAUGAUUGUUUUAGUGAGGAUUCAAUCUUAGAUUGUCUUGAACGAUUUGUUUUUACUUUUUAAGUAAAAUUUAUUAACCAUUUGAUAAAUUAUUUGAUUACUAAUUAAUCAAUUGAUGUUAGAAUGAUAUGAUUAUGUUUGUAGUUCACUGUGUCCCAAAAAAAGAAAAUGGUGUAGUUCACAUACUUUAUUUUUUUUUACUCGAGUAAUCUUCCAACUUAAGCUCUCAAGUUUAACUUUAUCUCCUACUCGAUUCUUAAAGUAUACCAAAAAAAUGUUUUGUCCCCUGAUAUAAGUUCAAAUAGCAUAUAAAUACAUUUUUCAAAUAAAAAGUAAAGAAGAAACUUAACAAAAAAAAAUAUAUGUCAUUUAUAAAAGUUUACAUUAAGUUUCUACGAGUAUUGGCGUAGCUGACAUAUAUUUAAUUAGUGUUUUUUCUUAUAUUGUGGUUUGAUUCGGUUGGUAAAAUAAAAACACAAACCGAUCCAAACCACGCGGUUGAGUAAAAAAGUGAUUCGAAUACAUCUAAACCAAAUACGGUUUUUUACGUUUUUUUUUUUUUACAGUUUCUUUUGUCUUUUAUUGGUUUUCAUUCCUAACACUCUUGUAUAUGGGCUGUCUCCUUUCUCUUUGGGCCUGUACCACCCAACCACCCCUUUCUUUGAUCCAACGGUGCAAGCUUCGAUCUUUUCUCUAAAAUUAAUCUCAACCAUCCAUCCACUCGAUCUUUUCAAUUUUCAUUACUCUUUUCAUCUUCAAACUUAGGGAAUAUAUGAGAUUGUAACCGAUGACACUCAAUCAGUUGAGAUCAUUUAUUCCUCUACACAAAACCCAUAUAAAUUAUGCCUUAUUUUUCUGACUGACUAAAAUGUUAGAUAUGAAUGAAAAUCAUAUUUGAUGUGUUUAUGAUUUUGCAUAAGUUAAUUGUAGAAUGAAACCUCAUUGAAAAAAGAAAUUACAAUAACUUUAUUAAAACCUUAAUCAUAAAUUUCCUAAUGACUAAAUUUCAAAUAUUGAUUUUUUUUUUUUGCCAAGGAAACUGGAUUUUAAAUGAUGUUGAAUUUAAAACUUAAAUGAAUUGUGGGUAUUAUUUAUUUAUAAUUUAAAUUAUUAUUUUGUUUUAUGUUUAGCUUUUUAAAUAUAAAUUCCCUAUAUAUUAAACUCUCUUUUCUUUCUAUUCUUUCUCCAUGAAUUCGGAAAUUGUGUGGGAAAAAGAAAAGGAGGUUGUUUAUACGGGAUUUUUUAAUUAAAAAUCCUAAAUUUCAAAUUUUAAAUAAUAUUUAAAUAAUAAAUAACUAUAUAUAUAUAAACAAUUGCAUUUAUUAAAUUAUUAAUUUCACUUUUCUUUUUCCUGUCAAAGUCCACCUUACAUUUUCUAGUGCUCUUAGAACACUCAUUAGAAUCCUUCUUGAUUUUGUAAUUUUUGUAGUGUUAUGAAUGGACUAUGUAAAGACAAUAAUAUUAUAUAAAUGAGGUCAAACUACAUAAAUAUCUAAUUUUGAGUUAAUAAUACAAUAAGUAAGUGGGGUCGGCUGACCCGAUUGCCCCCACACUGAAGAUGUCCCUGCAGGGGGCUAGCAAAUGUUGAAUGGCAACUAGCUUUCUCUAAGGCCUUUGUAGAAGUUCGGUGUAGACUCCCACUCCCACCACAACCUUAUCCUUCUCCGCUUUGGUGGUUAUAACAUCCCAGACGACUUUAAGCAUUGCCGACUGGCCCUACAAACCAACAAGCAUUCAUUGUUGAUAUAGGUAGUACCAAACAAUUCUUAUAAGCCUUCUUUCAACCAUGUAGUUCCAUACCUACACAGCCUCAAGAUCCCUCUCAUUCCGAUGUGAUUCGGUUCCUCUAGAAGUUGUCGGGAGCCGCUCAUUGUCGUGCCUUGUGCACCGACGACCACUUCCCGCCCUCGUCGGCCUUUGGUGUUACAAUGGUCGAUCUCCCCAUAGCCAGAGGGCCUAGACCUUUCCUCUUUGAGACAACUUGAAUUAAUCAUGAAGUCGGCUCUGAUUUAGUUGCCACAAUCUGGAAUUCUUCUAACCAUAACCCACCAGUCGACUUAAGCAUGGUUUUGCGGCCUUCAAGCAUAGAAUGUUAACAUGCAUUCUAAGAACCGCAACAAGUUAUGUUGCUCCAAACUAUUCAAACAUUCAUUUUUUACAAUUACCGUAAAACUGAUUUUCCCUUUACCAUGAAACUUUAAUAAAAUGCAUAUAAUGUCACCUAUACUUUUUUUUGUCAGAUAGUCUAGUGACUAUAAUUCAAUUUUUAAAGUGAAUAAGUGGAGUGUUGAGGGUUCGAAAUUGACCUCUGCAUGUUACUAUGCAUUGUCCUUAUUUAAGCUCAUAUUCAUUAGUCAUUUAUUCGCAUACGACUUAGCAAUAUAACAUACACACACGCACCUUCGAAGAGAAAGGGAAAAUGUAAGGAGGAGGAGGAGGAGGAGGGGGGAAAAAUGUCGUGAGAAAUAAGAAGGAAUAAAAAGAGAGAAAGAGGGAGGGAGUGACAAAUAUCAGGAAUAAAGGAGAGUAUAGAAGGAAAAGAAAAAUAAGGAAAGAAAAGAAGCUCUAGAUGGUAGGGAUUUAUGAAUGUGAAGUUCCUCGUUUAGGAUUCUACCAUUGUUGAAGGGAUCAAACUUAAGCUGUGGGGUUCUUCUAAUUUUAUCUAAGGUAACCUAGAUUCUUCCCCCAUAUACCCUCUAUUAAGUGUGUGUGUGUGUGUUUUUUUUUAUAUAUAUUUUUCAACCAUAAAUAUUUGUCUCGUAUUCCUUUAUGUAUUAAUGGCAAACAUUUAGCUCAUUCUUUUAUGUAUUAAUAUUAAAUAUUUGUCAUGUUUUUUUAGUGGCAACUACUUUAUCCCAUUUUUUAAUGUAUAAGUGAUAAUUUUUUUGUCCCAUAUUUUUUAUAUUUAUUAUAUGUUUUGUUUAUGUAUUAGUAAUAAAUCAUUUUUUUUUGUGUUUUUUUAUAUAUAUUUAUCAAUUUUUGGUAAAUUAUGUUAUUCAUUCAUUUGACACAUCUAUUGCAUCUUUCCAAGCAUCUCAUCCGAUUUGGAAAUUUAGGUGUUUUCUAAAAAUGUUCAAUCUUCUCUUCAAAUCAUUUGAUUAUCUUUGUAUUUGGGUUAUCUGUAAAGAAAGAGAUUGGUAUAUUUUUUAACAUAAGGAGACUUUGAUGGUUGAAAUCAAAGAAUAAAACUUAACUUUUGAUCUUUAUAAUCGAUGGCUUAGUCCCAUUAUGUGUUUGAGUUUUGUCUCUUUUAGUUUUGUUGUGGUUUUGUAAUUUAUUGUGGACAUUUUUAAAUUCUACCCUUGCUCACCUUGUGCAGGUUAGGAUUAUUUCUUGGGUUUAAUAUAUUCUAUUUUAAUUUUAUUUUUUAAAAAUUAUGAUUUUAAUAUUUAUAUUUUUAUAUAUAUGAUUAUAAAUAUUAUUAAUUGAAGUCAACAGUUGGCCCCGCUAACACAUUGGGUUACAUAUAACUUACUAAUUCAAAUUUUUAUUGUCAAAUUGUGAAAUAAAAUUAAAUAGAAUUAUAUGAAGAGAUCACGUACCCAAUAGGACAAUAUAUAAAAUUCAAAUAACAAUAUGUGAUAUAUUGACCAAAGAAAGAUCACAAUGUAGACCUUCUAUAUAAAUAUGUAACAAAUUCAUAGAUAGAACCACAAAUACAUAAUCAUAAGCAUCUCCUAAAAUUAUACAAAUUUUCAUUACCACAACCAUGGCUAAAAUUAUUAUUCCAAUAAUCUUAUGCUUUGUUGGGAUAGUUUCAGCUCAAUUGUCCACUGAUUUUUACUCAACAACGUGUUCUGAUGUGCUUUCAACCAUUAAAAGAGAAAUAGAUUCUGCUGUUGGUAAUGAGGCUCGUAUGGGGGCAUCAAUACUUCGUCUUCAUUUCCAUGAUUGUUUUGUUCAAGCAAGUCUACUUUCACUUCUUAAUUCUUCUAUCUUUUCAAUUUUUUUGUUCAUCAAAAUUUCAACUAUUAUAUAUGGUCAAUUGCAUUAACUAAAUAUAAAAGUACACAUACUCAAGUAUGCUUGUAUCACAUAUUUUACAUUUAUGCAAGAAAUAUUAUAUAUGAUCUAUAUGUGAUAAUAUGAUCUUUCAAUCCAUAAAUUUUAUAAAAUACAUAUUUAGUAAAAUGUUAUUGAGCGGUGUAACAUUACUCAAUUGUUUUACCGAUGUAAUUUGAUCUUCUUUGUAAAGGAGUACUCAAAUUACACUCAAAGAGUUGUGCUAAUAGACUAAUAGUUGCACUAAUAACAUCUUGUUGGAUUAAACCCAACUAUCAACAUUUUUCUUUUCUCAUUACUACUUAAUUGAUGAAAUUUGUUUAUUGAAAAUUAAACAACUGCAGGUGAGUCAAUGUGACAAGAGAAAAACAUUAAGAUUACACCCCCACACACGAUUUUUUAAUUGUUAAUUUUUACUUUCCAUUGCUCAUUUAAAGUUGUAAAAUUAUAUUUUCUUAUCUCUCAGAAUAUAAGUUAGAAAAAAUCUCUAAAUAUUAGUUUCUUUUUAUAUUAUUAGAUUUUUUAACAAAAAAAUGCUCCUAAUUAAUUUACUGCCUUUUUUAGAAUCAUUGUUUAACUAAAAUUUGUUUAUAUAUGACUUACUACUCUCUUCUUUAUAGAUUAUAUGACUUGCUACUCUAGUUAAUUUAUUAAAUGAGAUUGCUUAUUUAUCUUGUAAGGGCAUGGCAAAUUGGCAAUCAUGCGUAUAUUUCUUUAUUUAUUUUCUUAAAGAAGAACAUUUCUUUCCUUUUUUUUUUGUGGGGGGGAAUAACAACAUUUCUUUCCUUAAAUAAAGAAAGAACAUUUCCUAAUUCAUUAUUAUAAUUUUGUAAAGGCGUGGCAAUAUAAUUAUAUAUACGUAUGUUUUCUUAGAAGAAUAUUUCUUUCCUUGAAUUAAAAAAAGAACAUUUCUUGAUUAACAAGCAACAAAAUGUCAACUAAUGAUAUUAUUAUUAUUUUUUUCAACAAAAUCAUUUUGGUCAUCAAUCUUGUGUUUUGAAUAUAGGGAUGUGAUGCAUCAGUACUGUUAGACGAUACAUCAAGUUUCACUGGUGAAAAAACAGCAGGUGCAAAUGCUAAUUCCUUAAGAGGUUUUGAUGUAAUUGACACUAUAAAAACUGAACUGGAGAGUUUGUGCCCUAAUACUGUGUCAUGCGCUGAUAUCCUUUCUGUAGCUGCAAGGGACUCUGUCGUCGCAGUAAGUAAUAUUUGUUAUCACAAUGAGUUUGUCAGAAUCAUAGUGGUUCACUGUGACUAUGACAACCUACUAUGAUACAAAUCGUGCACUACGUAUUUUCAUAUAUAUAUACAACAUAAAGCUAUAGAUCAUUUAAUAAAGCAAUUUAAUUAAUUUGGAUUAAUACUAAUUAAUGUUGAAAAUAAUAAUAAAAAUUUCAGCUGGGUGGACCUAGUUGGACAGUGCAAUUGGGCAGAAGGGAUUCAAUCACAGCAAGUUUAAGUUUAGCAAACUCAGAUUUACCUGGUCCUGGUUCUGAUCUAAGUGGUCUUAUAACUUCUUUUGAUAACAAAGGUUUCACACCCAAAGAAAUGGUUGCUUUAUCAGGUAACUAUAGUUAGUACAUUUCUAAUCAUUUUAUAUACUAUUAUUACUUUAUUAUAAACUUAUCCUCCCAAAGUCAAUUUCUGGGGCUAAUUCGUAUGGAGUUUUGCUUUGACUUUAAACGAGCCCCCACAAUGAACAAUGAGAUUGAUUCUCUCCAAUUAGUCAGUCCUAAGGGUCGAUUAUUACUUUUACCAUACGCUUUGACUCAUACUUGCAAAACAAUAUUUUAGGAUCUCACACAAUUGGUCAAGCAAGUUGUAGAUUCUUCAGAACCAGGAUUUACAACGAUGACAACAUAGAUUCAUCAUUUGCAACAUCAUUACAAGCAAAUUGUCCUACCACAGGUGGUGAUGACAAUUUGUCACCACUUGACACCACUACUCCAAACACAUUUGACAAUUCUUAUUUCCAGAACUUGCAAAGCCAAAAGGGUCU
This 10369-nucleotide long non-coding RNA is filed under the name Medicago truncatula (barrel medic). RNAcentral describes it as "long non-coding RNA (MTRU_LNC005269)". Lineage: Eukaryota; Viridiplantae; Streptophyta; Magnoliopsida; Fabales; Fabaceae. The record is from RNAcentral.